Molecule: long non-coding RNA, 203 nt
Filed under: Nicotiana benthamiana
Lineage: Eukaryota; Viridiplantae; Streptophyta; Magnoliopsida; Solanales; Solanaceae
Description: long non-coding RNA (NBEN_LNC000128)
Source: RNAcentral
UUGCUCACCACCUUUUUCAUAUCUUGCUUCCCCCUGCCUCUUCUUCUGGUGAUUUUCCUACCUGCCUGGUUCGAAAAACUGACAGUUGUGGAUCCAUUGGGAUCUAAAACAGCAGCGGAAUUUCCAGGGCUGGAGCUCCAUUGAAAGGACAAAUUAGAGACAUGCUCAGAACCAUGUCCAGAAUGAUGUCCUGAUACCCCAUU